AAAGAGUUUAUUGGUUCACCAUAUACUAGGCUUUGAAAGUCAUGGGUUUUAUGAAUUGUUUUUGGAUGCAUGUCUACUUUAAAGUGUUAAUAGCUUGCAUGUGUAUUCAAAUGUUCAUACUUGUUCUUAGCUAGGACAAUUUUUUUUCCUUCAAGUGGUAUCAGAGCCUAGGCCUAGUUUAUGGUGAAUCCUUUUGGGUUUUGUGACUUUCAUAUUUUGUGAUUUAAAUGUUGUAAAUGUUACAAGCUUUGUUCUUGCUUUUGAAUAUAUAAAUUUUGCUAGAAAAUUUAGCAUCUCAAAUGUUGUAGAUGUAUUUCAUUCAAGCAUGAAUAUUGGAACUAAAAUUUGGUGCCAUGUAUUUUGGGAAAUUCGGCCAAAUCCAAAGGGUGAUCUUUUGGGUUCAUGUUUGUCUUGUUAAAAUGGUUUUAAGGUGACUUUUGGAACCCCUAAGUACCCUAGGACAUUAGCCAUCUUUUGUAUAGUGAAAAUUUGAUUUUUGUUGAGUGAAAACAUUCAUGGAGCUCUUAUGAGUUUUUCAUGUUUGUUCUUCAUGUUCUUGAUGUUCUUGCCAAGAACAAAAAGUUUUGAAGUUUUGAUUUAAAGGUUUUAUGUUUUUCAUAAAGUUUUGGUUUAUUAAUUUUGUAUUAUAACUUAAGGGUGAAGAAAGGAAAAUGUCAUUAAUGUUUACAAAACAUUUUCUUACAUUUUCUUACAAGUCUUUAAAGUUUGCAAAGACUUUCUUCACCAACCAAUCCACUUGCUAAAGUGCUUUAAUCAACUUGCAAAAACUUUCAAAAUUUUCAAAAUUUUCACUUGUUCACUCCCUUUGGCCGGCCACCCUAACAAGUAGGGUACUUUUGGGCCCUUUUGUGCAAUUACGUAAAGUUUUGAUACUUUUGUGUUUUUGUAUUUUGGCCCAAAAGUUUACGUUUUUACGUUUAGGCCUAAAAACUCUAAAGGUCAAAUUGUUUUGAUCCUUUAAUGAUGUUUUUACAUUAAUAAAAUUUUGGGAUCUAGUUGUAAUUACAUGAAGUUGUGGACUAUUGUGUUUUUACAAAGUGACCCCAAAAGUUUUAGUAUUUGCAUUAUGGCCCAAUUGUUGUGGUCAUAGUUUCCUUUUGGCCCAAAUAAAAUGAGAACAAAAUUGUUUUGUCUCUUUAAUGAGAAUUGGAUUUUCAUUUCAUUUAGUUCCAUUUAAAUCAAUUCUAUGGAUCCAAAAACCAAUUGUUUAAGUUGCUUUCUUAGUUAAUGUGAUUAAUUGAGAAAAAGGGUGAUUAUGAACCAAAGGCCUCGAUAAUUGAGCUAUGUGAUUGGCCGCUUUACAUUAUGAAUGUUUGGGUUUUUGUAGUAUAGAUUUGAAUGUAAUUUGAUUAAUUCAAUUUGUUGUAAAUGGACAUAAGUCCAUCAUUUGAUUUGUGUUGUAAAAGGGCAUAAGCCCUUAUUAUUAUUUCAUGUAUUCCUUUUGUUUAUAUGUAUGCAAAUGGAAUAGUUGGGUCCUACGCCCAAUAGGAAAUAACGGUUUAAUUGGAUUAAACGCGUAACUAAAAUCAACAACUAUCUACCUUAAACCCAAGGGUCCAACACAAGGCUCGUGUUGGAUCAAAUUAAUCGGUUCAUAAUCAUCCUAAGACCUAAUAUGACUAUAUAGUCCAUAUGAGGAUGCAAUGCAUUCGUUAGUAGUUCUAUAUAGUCUCGCUUGUUUCUUCGAAAUAGUGAGAGUAUUAUAAACUACUAAUUCAUAUUUACUUGGACCAAUGGUUGUGAUAGGCCCAAGUUCUUUUAAUAUGAUUAAAAUGUUUUUGAUGUAGCCCAAAACUACUCCCUCAAAACGAAUAUUAAGUUGAUAAGCGAGAGAUGUUUAGAAUAUCUCUUCGUAGGCCUUCCACCGUGGUGGGCUCCAAGCGUUUGUGACUCAUACACCGGCUUCACCCUAUCAUGGGGAAGUACAAAGUAUGUGCUUACAUCCAGGAGGAGUCCAUAAACAUAUGAUGAGGUGAGUGUAGGCAACGAGGAUAGCCAACAUCGUAUCAUCGUGAGGCUAUUCUUGAACCCCUUCACGAACUAAGCAUGGUGGGAAUAACUUAAACUAAGUGCAAUGGUGCCAACAUCGUAUCAUCGUGAGACAACAUUCUUUAGAGGCCAAACGGAUGGGAAAUUACAAAAGUUGUAAAUGAAUAAUGCGUUAUUCUCUCAUCAUUAUUUUGCUAGCCAACAUCGUAUCAUCGUGAGGUGGGCUUGGUAAUGGUGAGUCUCCCAUAACCCACUAAGAGUUCAAUAUAACUCUCGAAUUCUAUUGAGGGAUGUGGAAUUUGCCAAAAAUAGUGGGUGGUGCUAUUUGAUUCAAAGACCCAAUCAAAUAGUUUUAAACAAACAAUCUAAUACGAUUUCUGUUAUGUUAUGUA
This 2402-nucleotide long non-coding RNA is filed under the name Malus domestica (apple). RNAcentral describes it as "long non-coding RNA (MDOM_LNC006139)". Lineage: Eukaryota; Viridiplantae; Streptophyta; Magnoliopsida; Rosales; Rosaceae. The record is from RNAcentral.